RNAcentral lists this non-coding RNA (26 nucleotides) under Mus musculus (house mouse). Lineage: Eukaryota; Metazoa; Chordata; Mammalia; Rodentia; Muridae. The record is from RNAcentral.
UAGCCAUUGGUUGUUCAUGGUUGGCC